UGCACAAUGGGGGCAACCCUGAUGCAGCGACGCCGCGUGUGGGAGGAAGGCCUUCGGGUUGUAAACCACUGUCGGGCGGGACGAGCCGGGGGUCGUCGAACAGGCGGCUCCUCCGACGGUACCGCCCAUAGGAAGCUCCGGCUAACUCCGUGCCAGCAGCCGCGGUAAAACGGAGGGAGCAAGCGUUGUCCGGAAUUACUGGGCGUACAGAGCGCGCAGGCGGCCAGGUCAGUCGUAUGUGAAAGGCCCGGGCUCAACCCGGGCAUGCCAUGCGAUACGGCCUGGCUCGAGGCCGGCAGGGGCCAGUGGAAUUCCCGGUGUAGCGGUGGAAUGCGUAGAUAUCGGGAGGAACACCAGCGGCGAAGGCGACUGGCUGGGCCGGACCUGACGCUGCAGCGCGAAAGCGUGGGGAUCAAACA
Molecule: ribosomal RNA, 419 nt
Filed under: uncultured bacterium
Lineage: Bacteria
Description: bacterial SSU rRNA
Rfam family: Bacterial small subunit ribosomal RNA
Source: RNAcentral